AUGUGGCCAGAAGUUCAGACAUGGGAGAUUUUAUCCCCUAUGUACAAGAAAGGUCCACGAAAACUAAGAAAGUUAAGGAUAAGGGAGUGUGGUGAAGAGGGUGCUAGAAGGAGGAGAUUUCCAGGUGUUUCUUACAGAUGCACUAAGUGUGACAAAUUUGGUCACAAUGCUCAAACAUGUAAAAGUACAACACAAGAUCCUAAUGAACUAAAGAGAAAGAGGAAGGUCAAGGUAGGUACAACCAUACAACCUGAUGAUGUUCAACAAGCUGGCGCAUCUGAUGCAACUGAGGCACCAAUACAAUCUGAUGCAACUGAGGCACCGAUACAAACUGAUGCAACUGAGGCACCAAUACAAACAGGUGAAAAUCAAACUGAAGCAACUGAACCAAUUGACUAUUUUGGAGACAUAACUUAUGAUAUCAUUUCAAGCAUUCCU
Molecule: non-coding RNA, 438 nt
Organism: Vicia faba (fava bean)
Lineage: Eukaryota; Viridiplantae; Streptophyta; Magnoliopsida; Fabales; Fabaceae
Source: the annotation of a GenBank genome assembly